This 253-nucleotide ribosomal RNA is filed under the name uncultured bacterium. RNAcentral describes it as "partial 16S ribosomal RNA". It matches the Rfam family "Bacterial small subunit ribosomal RNA", at positions 524 to 776 of the family's 1533-position model. The record is from RNAcentral.
UACGUAGGGCGCAAGCGUUAUCCGGAAUUAUUGGGCGUAAAGAGCUCGUAGGCGGUUUGUCGCGUCUGCCGUGAAAGUCCGGGGCUCAACUCCGGAUCUGCGGUGGGUACGGGCAGACUAGAGUGAUGUAGGGGAGACUGGAAUUCCUGGUGUAGCGGUGAAAUGCGCAGAUAUCAGGAAGAACACCAAUGGCGAAGGCAGCUCUCUGGGACGGUACUGACGCUGAGGUGCGAAAGCGUGGGGAGCAAACAGG